Molecule: ribosomal RNA, 322 nt
Filed under: uncultured bacterium
Lineage: Bacteria
Description: bacterial SSU rRNA
Rfam family: Bacterial small subunit ribosomal RNA
Source: RNAcentral
AUUGAACGCUGGCGGCGUGCUUAACACAUGCAAGUCGAACGGUGAACCUUCCUUCGGGGAGGGGAUCAGUGGCGAACGGGUGAGUAACACGUGAGCAACCUGCCCCUAGCUCUGGGAUAACCCCGGGAAACCGGAGCUAAUACCGGAUACGAGACCGAACGGCAUCACUCGGUCUGGAAAGUUUUUUCGGCUAGGGAUGGGCUCGCGGCCUAUCAGCUUGUUGGUGAGGUAACGGCCCACCAAGGCGACGACGGGUAGCCGGCCUGAGAGGGCGACCGGCCACACUGGGACUGAGACACGGCCCAGACUCCUACGGGAGGCA